ACUCCUACGGGAGGCAGCAGUAGGGAAUCUUCCACAAUGGGCGCAAGCCUGAUGGAGCAACACCGCGUGAGUGAAGAAGGGUUUCGGCUCGUAAAGCUCUGUUGUUAAAGAAGAACACGUAUGAGAGUAACUGUUCAUACGCUGACGGUAUUUAACCAGAAAGUCACGGCUAACUACGUGCCAGCAGCCGCGGUAAUACGUAGGUGGCAAGCGUUAUCCGGAUUUAUUGGGGCGUAAAGAGAGUGCAGGCGGUUUUCUAAGUCUGAUGUGAAAGCCUUCGGCUUAACCGGAGAAGUGCAUCGGAAACUGGAUAACUUGAGUGCAGAAGAGGGUAGUGGAACUCCAUGUGUAGCGGUGGAAUGCGUAGAUAUAUGGAAGAACACCAGUGGCGAAGGCGGCUACCUGGUCUGCAACUGACGCUGAGACUCGAAAGCAUGGGUAGCGAACAGGAUUAGAUACCCU
RNAcentral lists this ribosomal RNA (462 nucleotides) under uncultured bacterium. Its description in RNAcentral is "bacterial SSU rRNA". It matches the Rfam family "Bacterial small subunit ribosomal RNA", at positions 335 to 788 of the family's 1533-position model. The record is from RNAcentral.